CGCGGAGGGCGUCGGGUGUCGCGCCGGAGGUGGCGGUGUCCCCCGUGCGCUUUCGGCCCGCUCUCCCUGGACAGGACACCGCUACCUCCAUCACUUCUGCAUCCUGGAAUGUGUGACGCUGCGCUUUGUAUAAAGCGAGCACUCCGUAAAUGCAGAACGAAUGUGGAGCUGCCAGCGUUCCAGGCCAUGUUUUAGAAGCACCGACCUAGUAAAAGUGACUAGGACAGCAUGGAGGAGGAGCUCCGAUAGUCAUUACUCGCCUUGGAUAGUAAAGACCUGGGGGAACGUCAGCAUGUUUCCCUGCCCUGACUUUAUCCUCUGCAAAAUGGGAAUAAUAGUCGUCGCUGCUUCUCUUCCUCAUGAGGUUAUGCCAGGUCGUGUAUGUCCUGCCGGCCUUCCCGCAGCCCAAGCUGUUUUCAAGGAUGCAGCCUUGAGAGAGCAAGGUGUUGAGACCGUCUGUCCUGAAUAUGUGGCUGAACUCCUAAGAUUCUGGCAGACGGUGUGGAAAUCUGCUUGUCUUGCAGCCGCCCAAGAUAAGCCUCAAAUCAGAUGGUCAGAACAGUUGAAACACCGAUUCCAACAGUUGGCAGAUACAAAGGGAAACAUUUAAGACAGUGAGUCAGAAGGAAGGUGAACCCUCCAACGGGAUCGGGAACAUCAGCAAAACAACGCAUGCACGUGGUCACAGGCGCCCGGCUGCACCCGGUGCCGGCCUCCACGCGCUCCCCCAGUGAUACGUGUGCCUCGAGAGCUUCUCCGAAAGGUGUUUGACAGCUUCCCUGUGACUGAGCCCCCAUUGGCUGGACAUGACCCAAAAGUUCAUUAUUUCUCUGUAGCGAAAGUUACUUCCCCCACCCCUUUGGCAUUUCACUUUAAUUUGCUCAUUUUUUGUGAACUCUAACACAAAGUUUAGUCAUUUAUUUAACAUGUGAUUUCUGUUCAGAUAGAACUCUAGGAGAAAAAAAACCAAAAACCCAGAUCUAAAGUCUUUCUUCGGAUUUGUGACCUUGCUUAUUUUUUUAUCACUCCAUAAGCAUCUAUCCAUUUCCAGCAUAUUUCUGGGUUAAAUGUUGGGGGGAAUGGAGAGAAGUGAAAAAAUGCGGAACACAGUCUCGGGAUCUCAUCGAAGAGUCAAGCAGAAGAUGGUCAUGUCGUGACAUACACGUGAUGGACAACAGCACAAGGGAACCCGAUUGCAGUGCAGGGAAAGAUGCUUCCAGCCAGACACCUAAGUGUAGACUGACUUUAGGAUGAGGGAAAACUCAGAGCAAGUGAAAUUAACCCAAACACAUUUAGGGAAGGUGGCGGGUCUCCAGCAAGUGCUCAAACACGUGGACACACAUAUACACACACAUGCACCAUGCAUUUUGGGUGUGGAGGAUGGAGACAGGCUACUCUUUGUUGAAUAUUCUUCGGAGCAAGACUCCCAAUGCUGCUCCAUUUCCUUCAGGCCAACUUGCAGAGCUCUUUACCACCCUCUGUCCCGAGACACCCCCCACCCCCCCAGGCCCGCC
This is a long non-coding RNA of Prionailurus viverrinus (fishing cat), 1514 nucleotides long. RefSeq lists it as uncharacterized. Lineage: Eukaryota; Metazoa; Chordata; Mammalia; Carnivora; Felidae. The record is from RefSeq and is a predicted model, not a curated record. The transcript has 5 exons.